RNAcentral lists this transfer RNA (58 nucleotides) under Loxodonta africana (African savanna elephant). It matches the Rfam family "tRNA", at positions 8 to 63 of the family's 71-position model. From Rfam's summary of the family: Transfer RNA (tRNA) molecules are approximately 80 nucleotides in length. Lineage: Eukaryota; Metazoa; Chordata; Mammalia; Proboscidea; Elephantidae. The record is from Rfam by way of RNAcentral.
UGGCACAGUGGUUAAAAGCGCUUGGCUGCUAACCAAAAGGUUGGUGGUUCAAACCACC